CAGCAGCCACGGUAAUACGAAGGGGGCUAGCGUUGUUCGGAAUUACUGGGCGUAAAGCGCACGUAGGCGGAUAUUUAAGUCAGGGGUGAAAUCCCAGAGCUCAACUCUGGAACUGCCUUUGAUACUGGGUAUCUUGAGUAUGGAAGAGGUGAGUGGAAUUCCGAGUGUAGAGGUGAAAUUCGUAGAUAUUCGGAGGAACACCAGUGGCGAAGGCGGCCCACUGGUCCAUUACUGACGCUGAGGUGCGAAAGCGUGGGGAGCAAACAGGAUUAGAUACCCCUGUAGUCCCUGUCUCUUAUAC
Molecule: ribosomal RNA, 301 nt
Filed under: uncultured bacterium
Lineage: Bacteria
Description: partial 16S ribosomal RNA
Rfam family: Bacterial small subunit ribosomal RNA
Source: RNAcentral